This 22-nucleotide microRNA is filed under the name Lingula anatina. RNAcentral's name for it is "Lan-Mir-2-o105_5p* (star (passenger))". The record is from RNAcentral. Lineage: Eukaryota; Metazoa; Brachiopoda; Lingulata; Lingulida; Lingulidae.
GCAUCAAGGGGGCUGUGAUGUG